UACGUAGGUGGCAAGCGUUGUCCGGAAUUAUUGGGCGUAAAGCGCGCGCAGGCGGUCCUUUAAGUCUGAUGUGAAAUCUUGCGGCUCAACCGCAAGCGGUCAUUGGAAACUGGGGGACUUGAGUGCAGAAGAGGAGAGUGGAAUUCCACGUGUAGCGGUGAAAUGCGUAGAGAUGUGGAGGAACACCAGUGGCGAAGGCGACUCUCUGGUCUGUAACUGACGCUGAGGCGCGAAAGCGUGGGGAGCGAACAGGAUUAGAAACCCGCGUAGUCC
This 273-nucleotide ribosomal RNA is filed under the name uncultured bacterium. Its description in RNAcentral is "partial 16S ribosomal RNA". It matches the Rfam family "Bacterial small subunit ribosomal RNA", at positions 524 to 796 of the family's 1533-position model. The record is from RNAcentral.